RNAcentral lists this ribosomal RNA (465 nucleotides) under Vreelandella stevensii. RNAcentral's name for it is "partial 16S ribosomal RNA". It matches the Rfam family "Bacterial small subunit ribosomal RNA", at positions 338 to 795 of the family's 1533-position model. Lineage: Bacteria; Pseudomonadati; Pseudomonadota; Gammaproteobacteria; Oceanospirillales; Halomonadaceae. The record is from RNAcentral.
CCUACGGGCGGCAGCAGUGGGGAAUAUUGGACAAUGGGGGGAACCCAGAUCCAGCCAUGCCGCGUGUGUGAAGAAGGCCCUCGGGUUGUAAAGCACUUUCAGUGAGGAAGAACGCCUGGUGGUUAAUACCCAUCAGGAAAGACAUCACUCACAGAAGAAGCACCGGCUAACUCCGUGCCAGCAGCCGCGGUAAUACGGAGGGUGCGAGCGUUAAUCGGAAUUACUGGGCGUAAAGCGCGCGUAGGUGGCUUGAUAAGCCGGUUGUGAAAGCCCCGGGCUCAACCUGGGAACGGCAUCCGGAACUGUCAAGCUAGAGUGCAGGAGAGGAAGGUAGAAUUCCCGGUGUAGCGGUGAAAUGCGUAGAGAUCGGGAGGAAUACCAGUGGCGAAGGCGGCCUUCUGGACUGACACUGACACUGAGGUGCGAAAGCGUGGGUAGCAAACAGGAUUAGAUACCCUUGUAGUC